GUGAAUCAUCGAAUUUUUGAACGCAAAUUGCGCCUUUUUCGGAAGGCAUGUCCGUUCGAGGGUACCGUUCAAUAAAUACUGUGCAGCGUUUUUUGUUGCACACGUUGAUGAGCUUUACAAGAAUUUUAAAUUUUUGGUGGCGUAUAAUGAACAGCGCGAAAGUUUUUUUCAGUUCGAGUGUAGUAAAAUCUUUGUUUGGGUUGUGAAAAAAUAUAAUCGCGCAAUGGGCGUGGCAAUUUCUUUUUAUCCCUGCCCAAAUGCCACUCUUUCCC
RNAcentral lists this unclassified non-coding RNA (272 nucleotides) under Paraglomerales sp. RNAcentral describes it as "partial contains 5.8S ribosomal RNA and internal transcribed spacer 2". The stretch from base 1 to 65 matches the Rfam family "5.8S ribosomal RNA", at positions 84 to 154 of the family's 154-position model. The record is from RNAcentral. Lineage: Eukaryota; Fungi; Glomeromycota; Glomeromycetes; Paraglomerales.